Non-coding RNA from Rhamnusium bicolor, 74 nucleotides. The record is from the annotation of a GenBank genome assembly. NCBI's taxonomy places the organism in Eukaryota, Metazoa, Arthropoda, Insecta, Coleoptera, Cerambycidae.
GACUUCGUGGUCAAGUGGUACAGAUACUUGCCUCUCACCCAGGAGUCCCGAGGUCGAUCCCCGGUCGAGGAGCU